RNAcentral lists this ribosomal RNA (460 nucleotides) under uncultured bacterium. Its description in RNAcentral is "partial 16S ribosomal RNA". It matches the Rfam family "Bacterial small subunit ribosomal RNA", at positions 338 to 795 of the family's 1533-position model. The record is from RNAcentral.
CCUACGGGAGGCAGCAGUGAGGAAUAUUGGUCAAUGGACGAAAGUCUGAACCAGCCAAGUAGCGUGAAGGAUGACUGCCCUAUGGGUUGUAAACUUCUUUUAUAUGGGAGUAAAAUGAUACACGUGUGGCUUUUUGUAUGUAUCGUAUGAAUAAGGAUCGGCUAACUCCGUGCCAGCAGCCGCGGUAAUACGGAGGAUUCAAGCGUUAUCCGGAUUUAUUGGGUUUAAAGGGUGCGUAGGUGGUCUGUUAAGUUAGUGGUGAAAGCUUGCGGCUCAACCGUGAAAUUGCCUUUGAUACUGUUCGGCUUGAGAACAGUUGAGGUAGGCGGAAUUUGUGGUGUAGCGGUGAAAUGCUUAGAGAUCACGAAGAACACCGAUUGCGAAGGCAGCUCACUAAACUACUUCUGACACUGAGGCACGAAAGUGUGGGGAGCAAACAGGAUUAGAUACCCUGGUAGUC